AUACAGAGGGUGCAAGCGUUAAUCGGAUUUACUGGGCGUAAAGCGCGCGUAGGUGGCUAAUUAAGUCAAAUGUGAAAUCCCCGAGCUUGACUUGGGAAUUGCAUUCGAUACUGGUUAGCUAGAGUAUGGGAGAGGAUGGUAGAAUUCCAGGUGUAGCGGUGAAAUGCGUAGAGAUCUGGAGGAAUACCGAUGGCGAAGGCAGCCAUCUGGCCUAAUACUGACACUGAGGUGCGAAAGCAUGGGGAGCAAACAGGAUUAGAUACCCUGGUAGUCCAUGCCGUAAACGAUGUCUACUAGCCGUUGGGGCCCUUGAGGCUUUAGUGGCGCAGCUAACGCGAUAAGUAGACCGCCUGGGGAGUACGGUCGCAAGACUAAAACUCAAAUGAAUUGACGGGG
RNAcentral lists this ribosomal RNA (396 nucleotides) under uncultured bacterium. Its description in RNAcentral is "partial 16S ribosomal RNA". It matches the Rfam family "Bacterial small subunit ribosomal RNA", at positions 523 to 918 of the family's 1533-position model. The record is from RNAcentral.